Molecule: long non-coding RNA, 1218 nt
Organism: Homo sapiens (human)
Lineage: Eukaryota; Metazoa; Chordata; Mammalia; Primates; Hominidae
Product: long intergenic non-protein coding RNA 1727
Source: Ensembl
AUCAUCUUGUGAGCAUCUGGGCCAAGUUCAGGGCUGGUGCUCUCGUUCAGAUAGAUUUAGCUGGUGGUGCAGAGAUCCGUGAGCUUGCUUUUACAGGACUUUAAUGAUAUAUAAAAGCAGCACGAGGUGCUCCUGACUGUGGAUUAAUUUGGAGAUGACUUUCUCUGUUGAAGAGUAGCAAGACUCUCGCGAGUUCUUAAAAAUGCACUUGUUUGGUAUGAGAAUGAAAAGCAGUGGCUGAAGAACCAAUCUUCAAUGGGCAAGCCUUCUCUGUGUCUGUUCUAACACGUGCCAUUUGGGAUCCCUUGGAAUCUUCAUGUACAGAACUGGUUGCUGCCUCGUUGAGUCGGUGGGGACAGAAUAGCUCCUGGUUGACAGCAUGGGUUGUGCAGAAGGACGGAUCCUGCAGACAUCAAUAUCUGGCUUUGAGUGGCACAAAGAAAUAAAGGAAUGUGGAUUCAGACCUCACUGGGAUGCUUGGCAAUUCUAAUUCUACCCCAGACUGCAAAUGGACACACAACUGUUGUGACUUUUGUUGAAGAGGAGAAGGAUGGCACAGAAGCUGGAUUCAGAAGCACACAGGUCUGGGGAUGCAGGCUUCGGCCAGCCUGAUGCAAGGAAAGACUGCCAUCUCGUGGUCAGCUCAAUCCUGGCACCUUGGUGAGGGACCAGGCUGCAGAAAACCAGGCUUGGGGAGGAAACGGUGCUGCAAACUGGAUUUCUGCCGGACAGUGUGGAUGCCCUUAGAAAACACCCAGAAAAGAGCUGAGUGCCCCCCAAGGUAGGCUUCAGUGAAUCCUCUGCAGGUGUGUUGUCAUCCCUUGAGCCAAACACAUGCUUCACACACACGCUGCAGGCUGCGUGAAAAUGAGGUAGAAAUGUGGGGAAAACAUAAUCCCAUGGAGAGAACAAAGAGCUGAACACGUAAAUGCCUCCGGCGUGCCUGGCAGAGAGAACACUCAGGCUGAGAGAAGGGACAGUGACUUGUACCAAAGGUAGGCAAGUAGCCUCUGGGGUCUCAAUCAGCAGGGCAUCUGGUCAACCCUUCAGACAAAGUCAGGUCUGAGCAGGCAAGAUCCAUGGAUCUGAUUUAUUAAUAUUUUUACAAUUAAAUAGAAUCUGAUUGUAAAACUGUUACAUGUGUUGUAAGAAAAAAAGAAAAAAAGGAAGGAUAUAGAAAUGUACAAAGAAGGAAAUAAAAGACUGGAAGCGUCCUCA